Small nuclear RNA from Argiope bruennichi, 126 nucleotides. Lineage: Eukaryota; Metazoa; Arthropoda; Arachnida; Araneae; Araneidae. The record is from RefSeq and is a predicted model, not a curated record.
UUGUCGUGGACAGACAGUAGGUUAGCACUCAAUUUGCCAAGGCCGAAAUGGCCUCCUAGUCUAUAAUACAUAUGUUCGGAUAAAGCACUAGCUAUCUGCUUCGAAGCUGCUUAACCGGGUCUUUUU